This is a non-coding RNA of Podarcis lilfordi (Lilford's wall lizard), 94 nucleotides long. The record is from the annotation of a GenBank genome assembly. NCBI's taxonomy places the organism in Eukaryota, Metazoa, Chordata, Lepidosauria, Squamata, Lacertidae.
GGUCAUCUAUCGCUCACCGAUAAGACAGCCUGCAUUGUGGUUAGAGCGCUGGACUAGGACUUGGGAGACCAGGGUUCGAUUCCCUACUCAGCCA